UACGAAGGGGGCUAGCGUUGCUCGGAAUCACUGGGCGUAAAGCGCACGUAGGCGGUCUCUUAAGUCGGAGGUGAAAUCCUGGAGCUCAACUCCAGAACUGCCUUCGAUACUGGGAGUCUCGAGUUCGGGAGAGGUGAGUGGAACUGCGAGUGUAGAGGUGAAAUUCGUAGAUAUUAGCAAGAACACCAGUGGCGAAGGCGGCUCACUGGCCCGAUACUGACGCUGAGGUGCGAAAGCGUGGGGAGCAAACAGG
Molecule: ribosomal RNA, 253 nt
Filed under: uncultured bacterium
Lineage: Bacteria
Description: partial 16S ribosomal RNA
Rfam family: Bacterial small subunit ribosomal RNA
Source: RNAcentral